UACGUAGGUGGCAAGCGUUAUCCGGAAUUAUUGGGCGUAAAGAGCGCGCAGGUGGUUAAUUAAGUCUGAUGUGAAAGCCCACGGCUUAACCGUGGAGGGUCAUUGGAAACUGGUUGACUUGAGUGCAGAAGAGGGAAGUGGAAUUCCAUGUGUAGCGGUGAAAUCCGUAGAUAUCUGGAGGAACAUCAGUGGCGAAGGCGGCCACCUGGACCGGUAUUGACGCUGAGGCGCGAAAGCGUGGGGAGCAAACAGG
This 253-nucleotide ribosomal RNA is filed under the name uncultured Turicibacter sp. RNAcentral describes it as "partial 16S ribosomal RNA". It matches the Rfam family "Bacterial small subunit ribosomal RNA", at positions 524 to 776 of the family's 1533-position model. Lineage: Bacteria; Bacillati; Bacillota; Erysipelotrichia; Erysipelotrichales; Turicibacteraceae. The record is from RNAcentral.